Molecule: ribosomal RNA, 374 nt
Filed under: Exiguobacterium sp. EB26
Lineage: Bacteria; Bacillati; Bacillota; Bacilli; Caryophanales
Description: bacterial SSU rRNA
Rfam family: Bacterial small subunit ribosomal RNA
Source: RNAcentral
CUCUUCGGAGGGAAGUGAAGGGAAUGAGCGGCGGACGGGUGAGUAACACGUAAGGAACCUGCCCCAAGGAUUGGGAUAACUCCGAGAAAUCGGAGCUAAUACCGAAUAGUUCUUCAGACCGCAUGGUCUGAUGAUGAAAGGCGCUCCGGCGUCACCUUGGGAUGGCCUUGCGGUGCAUUAGCUAGUUGGUGGGGUAAUGGCCCACCAAGGCGACGAUGCAUAGCCGACCUGAGAGGGUGAUCGGCCACACUGGGACUGAGACACGGCCCAGACUCCUACGGGAGGCAGCAGUAGGGAAUCUUCCACAAUGGACGAAAGUCUGAUGGAGCAACGCCGCGUGAGUGAUGAAGUUUUCGGAUCGUAAAACUCUGUUG